Molecule: ribosomal RNA, 427 nt
Filed under: uncultured prokaryote
Description: bacterial SSU rRNA
Rfam family: Bacterial small subunit ribosomal RNA
Source: RNAcentral
UGGGGAAUUUUGCGCAAUGGGCGAAAGCCUGACGCAGCAACGCCGCGUGGGUGAUGAAGGUCUUCGGAUCGUAAAACCCUGUCGUCAGGGACGAAGGUGGGGGGGUUAACAGCCUCUUUGCUUGACGGUACCUGGAGAGGAAGCCCCGGCUAACUCUGUGCCAGCAGCCGCGGUAAUACAGAGGGGGCAAGCGUUAUUCGGAAUUACUGGGCGUAAAGGGCGCGUAGGCGGUUGUUUAAGUCAGAUGUGUAAUCCCCGUGCUUAACUUGGGAACUGCAUCUGAGACUGGAGAGCUAGAGUGCUGGAGAGGGUGGUAGAAUUCCACGUGUAGCGGUGAAAUGCGUAGAGAUGUGGAGGAAUACCAGUGGCGAAGGCGGCCACCUGGACAGCAACUGACGCUGAGGCGCGAAAGUGUGGGUAGCAAACA